UACAGAGGUCUCAAGCGUUGUUCGGAAUCACUGGGCAUAAAGCGCACGUAGGCGGUCUGUUAAGUCAGGUGUGAAAGCCCCCGGCUCAACCGGGGAAUUGCAUUUGAUACUGGCAGGCUCGAGAACGGUAGGGGUGAGUGGAACUCCAGGUGGAGCGGUGAAAUGCGUAGAUAUCUGGAGGAACACCGGUGGCGAAAGCGGCUCACUGGACCGUCACUGACGCUGAGGUGCGAAAGCUAGGGUAGCAAACGGG
This 253-nucleotide ribosomal RNA is filed under the name uncultured bacterium. Its description in RNAcentral is "partial 16S ribosomal RNA". It matches the Rfam family "Bacterial small subunit ribosomal RNA", at positions 524 to 776 of the family's 1533-position model. The record is from RNAcentral.